UCCUUAACAAGUGGAAUGGAACUC
Molecule: non-coding RNA, 24 nt
Filed under: Cricetulus griseus (Chinese hamster)
Lineage: Eukaryota; Metazoa; Chordata; Mammalia; Rodentia; Cricetidae
Source: RNAcentral